GGCCCCAUCGUCUAGUGGCCCAGGACGGUACCCUCUCAAGGUAUAAACACGGGUUCGAUUCCCGUUGGGGCCG
This 73-nucleotide transfer RNA is filed under the name Elusimicrobia bacterium RIFCSPHIGHO2_01_FULL_64_10. Its description in RNAcentral is "tRNA-Glu". It matches the Rfam family "tRNA". Rfam says of the family: Transfer RNA (tRNA) molecules are approximately 80 nucleotides in length. Their secondary structure includes four short double-helical elements and three loops (D, anti-codon, and T loops). Lineage: Bacteria; Pseudomonadati; Elusimicrobiota. RNAcentral also lists the same sequence under 1 other name. The record is from RNAcentral.